Molecule: ribosomal RNA, 589 nt
Filed under: Rhizopus arrhizus
Lineage: Eukaryota; Fungi; Mucoromycota; Mucoromycetes; Mucorales; Rhizopodaceae
Description: eukaryotic LSU rRNA
Rfam family: 5.8S ribosomal RNA (bases 205-358)
Source: RNAcentral
AAGGAUCAUUAAUUAUGUUAAAGCGCCUUACCUUAGGGUUUCCUCUGGGGUAAGUGAUUGCUUCUACACUGUGAAAAUUUGGCUGAGAGACUCAGACUGGUCAUGGGUAGACCUAUCUGGGGUUUGAUCGAUGCCACUCCUGGUUUCAGGAGUACCCUUCAUAAUAAACCUAGAAAUUCAGUAUUAUAAAGUUUAAUAAAAAUCAACUUUUAACAAUGGAUCUCUUGGUUCUCGCAUCGAUGAAGAACGUAGCAAAGUGCGAUAACUAGUGUGAAUUGCAUAUUCAGUGAAUCAUCGAGUCUUUGAACGCAGCUUGCACUCUAUGGUUUUUCUAUAGAGUACGCCUGCUUCAGUAUCAUCACAAACCCACACAUAACAUUUGUUUAUGUGGUGAUGGGUCGCAUCGCUGUUUUAUUACAGUGAGCACCUAAAAUGUGUGUGAUUUCCUGUCUGGCUUGCUAGGCAGGAAUAUUACGCUGGUCUCAGGAUCUUUUUUUUUGGUUCGCCCAGGAAGUAAAGUACAAGAGUAUAAUCCAGUAACUUUCAAACUAUGAUCUGAAAGUCAGGUGGGAUUACCCGCUGAACUUAA